This 430-nucleotide unclassified non-coding RNA is filed under the name soil metagenome. RNAcentral's name for it is "partial contains 5.8S ribosomal RNA, internal transcribed spacer 2, and large subunit ribosomal RNA". The stretch from base 1 to 120 matches the Rfam family "5.8S ribosomal RNA", at positions 35 to 154 of the family's 154-position model. The record is from RNAcentral.
GAUGAAGAACGCAGCGAAAUGCGAUACGUAAUGUGAAUUGCAGAAUUCAGUGAAUCAUCGAAUCUUUGAACGCAUAUUGCGCUCUCUGGUAUUCCGGAGAGCAUGCUUGUUUGAGUAUCAGUAAACACCUCAACUCCCUUUUCUUUUUUGAAAUUGGAGCUGGACUUGAGUGAUCCCAACGCUUUCUUCCAAGAAAGUGGCGGGUUGCUUGAAAUGCAGGUGCAGCUGAACUUUUCUCUGAGCUAUAAGCAUAUCUAUUUAGUCUGCCUAAAAAACAGAUUAUUACCUUUGCUGCAGCUAACAUAAAGGAGACUAGUUCUUGUGCUGACUGAUGCAGGAUUCACAGAGACAGCUUCGGCUGACUUUGUAAACUCGAUCUCAAAUCAAGUAAGACUACCCGCUGAACUUAAGCAUAUCAAUAAGCGGAGCA